GAUGAACGCUGGCGGCGUGCUUAACACAUGCAAGUCGAACGGAAAGGCUCCUGCUUGCAGGGGUACUCGAGUGGCGAACGGGUGAGUAACACGUGGGUGAUCUGCCCUGCACUUCGGGAUAAGCCUGGGAAACUGGGUCUAAUACCGGAUAGGACGAUGGUUUGGAUGCCAUUGUGGAAAGUUUUUCGGUGUGGGAUGAGCUCGCGGCCUAUCAGCUUGUUGGUGGGGUAAUGGCCUACCAAGGCGUCGACGGGUAGCCGGCCUGGGAGGGUGUACGGGCCAUUGGGGCAGGGGGAAGGGCCAGGGCCCCAGAGGGGGGAAGGGGUGGGGAAAUUGGCCAAAGGGGCCGAAUCGGUGUAGAAGGCCCCCGGGGGGGGGAGACCGGCUUUCGGGUUAAAAACCCCUUUCGCUAGGGACGAGCCGCAAUGAAGGUACCCUGGGAAAAAAGCCCCGGCAAAUUAGGG
RNAcentral lists this ribosomal RNA (464 nucleotides) under uncultured bacterium. RNAcentral describes it as "partial 16S ribosomal RNA". It matches the Rfam family "Bacterial small subunit ribosomal RNA", at positions 28 to 506 of the family's 1533-position model. The record is from RNAcentral.